Molecule: ribosomal RNA, 1798 nt
Filed under: Myroides odoratimimus
Lineage: Bacteria; Pseudomonadati; Bacteroidota; Flavobacteriia; Flavobacteriales; Flavobacteriaceae
Description: partial 23S ribosomal RNA
Rfam family: Bacterial large subunit ribosomal RNA
Source: RNAcentral
GGAGGCGAACCCGCUGAACUGAAACAUCUAAGUAGGCGGAGGAGAAGAAAACAAAAGUGAUUCCGUAAGUAGUGGCGAGCGAACGCGGAAUAGCCCAAACCAAAGUUGUUACGGCAAUUUUGGGGUUGUAGGACCACGAGAUUUCUUGCGGAUUUAAUUAGAAUUACCUGGAAAGGUAAACCGAAGAGGGUGAUAGUCCCGUAUAAGUAAGAGAAGAUAAGAAUAGUGGUAUCCUGAGUAGGUCGGGGCACGUGAAACCUUGAUUGAAACUGGCGGGACCAUCCGCUAAGGCUAAAUACUCCUGAGAGACCGAUAGUGAACCAGUACCGUGAGGGAAAGGUGAAAAGAACCGUGAAUAACGGAGUGAAACAGAUCCUGAAACCAUACGCCUACAAGCGGUCGGAGCUUCUACGUGAAGUGACGGCGUGCCUUUUGCAUAAUGAGCCUACGAGUUACCGUUGCUGGCAAGGAUAAGUGAUUAAGUCAUGGAUCCGUAGCGAAAGCGAGUCUUAAUAGGGCGCUUAAGUCAGUAGUGGUAGACGCGAAACCGUGUGAUCUACCCAUGGGCAGGUUGAAGUUUAGGUAACACUAAAUGGAGGACCGAACCGUUUAACGCUGAAAAGUUUUCGGAUGACCUGUGGGUAGGGGUGAAAGGCCAAUCAAACUCGGAAAUAGCUCGUACUCCCCGAAAUGCAUUUAGGUGCAGCGAUGAUCGAUAGUUACUUAGAGGUAGAGCUACUGAUUGGAUGCGGGGGCUUCACCGCCUACCAAUUCCUGACAAACUCCGAAUGCUAAGUAAUGAUAAUCAUCAGUGAGGGCAUGGGUGCUAAGGUCCAUGUCCGAGAGGGAAAGAACCCAGACCAUCAGCUAAGGUCCCCAAAUGUAUGCUAAGUUGAAAAAACGCGGUUUGAUUGCCCAGACAGCUAGGAUGUUGGCUUGGAAGCAGCCAUUCAUUUAAAGAGUGCGUAACAGCUCACUAGUCGAGCGAUCGAGCAUGGAUAAUAAUCGGGCAUAAGUAUACUACCGAAGCUAUGGAUUUGCGCAUUUAGUUGCGUGAGUGGUAGGGGAGCAUUCUAACGGCGCAGAAGGUGAUUUGUGAGAAUUGCUGGAGCUUUUAGAAAAGAAAAUGUAGGCAUAAGUAACGAUAAGGGGUGCGAGAAACACCCCCGCCGUAAGACUAAGGUUUCCUCAGCUAUGCUAAUCAGCUGAGGGUUAGUCGGGACCUAAGGCACACCCGAAGGGGGACGUCGAUGGCCAACGGGUUAAUAUUCCCGUACUACUGAUAAUUGUGAUGGAGUGACACAGUGAUGAAAGCACCGCGAACUGACGGAAUAGUUCGUUGAAGCACGUACCUAUAGGUUUGAUAGUAAAAUGCGUCAGACUUGGAGAAAUGCGAUAGUACUUUGAGUCUUCGGACAACGAGAUAGUGUGCCUAAGGGCUGUCAAGAAAAGCUUCUAAACUUAGAUUAUUAGUACCCGUACCGUAAACCGACACAGGUAGUCGAGGAGAGUAUCCUAAGGCGCUCGAGAGAUUCAUGGCUAAGGAACUAGGCAAAAUAGACCUGUAACUUCGGGAGAAAGGUCGCCAGCGCAAGCUGGCCGCAGUGAAAAGGUCCAGGCGACUGUUUAUCAAAAACACAGGGCUCUGCAAAAUCGUAAGAUGACGUAUAGGGCCUGACACCUGCCCGGUGCUGGAAGGUUAAGAGGAGAUGUUAUCUUCGGAGAAGCAUUGAAUUGAAGCCCCAGUAAACGGCGGCCGUAACUAUAACGGUCCUAAGGUAGCGAAAUUCCUUGUCGG